UGGGGAAUAUUGGACAAUGGGCGCAAGCCUGAUCCAGCCAUGCCGCGUGAGUGAUGAAGGCCUUAGGGUUGUAAAGCUCUUUCAGUGGGGAAGAUAAUGACGGUACCCACAGAAGAAGCCCCGGCUAACUUCGUGCCAGCAGCCGCGGUAAUACGAAGGGGGCCAGCGUUGUUCGGAUUUACUGGGCGUAAAGCGCACGUAGGCGGAUCGUUAAGUCAGGGGUGAAAUCCCAGAGCUCAACUCUGGAACUGCCUUUGAUACUGGCGAUCUCGAGUCCGGAAGAGGUGAGUGGAACUCCUAGUGUAGAGGUGGAAUUCGUAGAUAUUAGGAAGAACACCAGUGGCGAAGGCGGCUCACUGGUCCGGAACUGACGCUGAGGUGCGAAAGCGUGGGGAGCAAAACAGGAUUAGAUACCCCUGGUAGUCCACGCCGUAAACCUAUGAGAGCUAGCCGUUGGAUGGUUUAUCUUCAGUGGCGCAGCUAACGCAUUAAGCUCUCCGCCU
RNAcentral lists this ribosomal RNA (503 nucleotides) under uncultured bacterium. RNAcentral's name for it is "partial 16S ribosomal RNA". It matches the Rfam family "Bacterial small subunit ribosomal RNA", at positions 355 to 874 of the family's 1533-position model. The record is from RNAcentral.